Sus scrofa (pig) is the source of this 2578-nucleotide non-coding RNA. NCBI's taxonomy places the organism in Eukaryota, Metazoa, Chordata, Mammalia, Artiodactyla, Suidae. The record is from RefSeq and is a predicted model, not a curated record.
UUGAGCCUUAGUUUACCAACCUAUAAAAUGAAAACACCUCGGGGUUGAUGUGAGGAUGUAAAAACAUGUUGUCGGUGGACACCUUCAUGUUGUAAGAAAUGGAAAAUACCAAUAUAUCUUUGUCUAAAACAACAUAGCUGUCUAGAGAAGAUUAUAGAUAGGAUGUCAGGUAUGGCAUGAUCAAGGCGCUGGCUCACUUUCUCUGACUCUCUAAGCAUUGUCUUCUCCAUGGGUCAGCCCUUGUCUAAGGGUGGCAAUGCUUGCUACAGGUCCAGGUGGCACAUGCAUAGGCCACACUGACUUGGGAUGGUUAGCAGUGUUCUGGGCCAGCUGCCAAGUCUGCCCUGGGGUUGUUCCUGAUUGGGCAAUUUAGGUCACAGGCCCAUCUCUGGAGCAAAGAGAUUGUGGCCUGGAUGGGGAGGAGGAAUAGGGGUUGGCCCCAGGCUCAGGAGUUGAGAGGAAGAGUGGAGAGUGGAAUGAACCCGGGCUGUCCCUAAAAAGAAAGGGAGGGACGGAUGUGGACAGGGGCCUCCAGCAAGCACAGUGGAGGGGACAGGAGAGAUUGACAAGCAAAGCCCUCGGGCGGCUCCGGCUGCUUGAGGAUGAGGUAAUCAUCCAGCCUUGGGGGCUGGCUGGCUGGGAGGGGGGUGCAGUAGCUGAAAUUGUGGGGGGUGGAACGGUUCUGGGUGAGGGGGCAGCUGGGGUACCUUGGGGAGGGGCCUGAACCCUGGAAACCACGCCUAGGAGGGCACCCAACCAGAAGCUUCCAAACUCCCCAAAUCUGCGCUAACGGCCCUCUCUGCCAGCAGGAGACCAGGGAUGCAGAGUUCUCCCUGCUCGGCUUCAGGUGGACUUGCUGCCCUGGGAGGGGGCCUGGUGCUUCCAGAAGCCGGUCUGGGUCAGAGACAACGGGGAAGGCCUGGGGCAGGCUGGGGGGGGCGUGCUUGGUCAGGGGGGUGGGGAUGGGGCAGUGGCCUCUCCUGUCCCCUUCCCUUCCAUCCAAGACAAUCGGCUGCCAGCUAGGGUGGGAGACGAUGAAAGGCCGGGUGGGGUUGGUGGAAUCAUAGCUUCCAGGGCCUCUGGUCCCCCUCACCCUGUGCCUUCAUGGAAGGGAGGCCUGAGAGCUGUCCCCGGUCACCGGGGCCCCUGCCCUGACGCCAGGGGUCAGCCUCUCAAGGUUAGGGUCUGUCUCCUUCCCUCCCUCCCUUCAGCUUUGCACGUAAAGGGCACCCAGCUGCAGGACCUGCCUGUGUCCUCCGAGGCGCUGUCGGCCUGCGGGCUUGUGGCGGGGCCUCCGGGUGAGGCUCGAGGAGUGGAGCUGGGCGGGAUCGAUCGCUUCGUUUGGAUGGAAAAGAACCUAAAAUUUCUCAAUAAGGUUUCUAUUGAUUAGACGGUGGAAUGACCAUAUUUGGGGCAUGCUCAUGGGUUAAAUUCACUUGUUUGUUUUUCCUUUUUUGGGGGGCCGCAUUCGAGAGACUUGGAAGGUCCCUGGGCCAGGGAUUGAAUCAGAGCCGCAUGGGCGACCUACGCCACAGCUGAGGUAACACGGGACCCUUAACCCACUGCAGCACAGCGGGAACUCCCUGCUGCACGUCUCUGAGCCACACUGUCUUCCUUGAGGAGGCGCUGCUGAGGGUGACGGAGACCCCCCUACUGGAGGUGCCACUGAGGUGUGGCAGGGAGGGGGCAUCCAUCCGUCUGUCCCCAGGCCUCGGACCCUGGUGCCUGAGAGACACGGAUGCUGCAAGACUCCAUCUCCAGCACCACCACUGCUGCGCUCAGACCCUGGGGCUCUGUCAGGAGUCUGCCCUGCACGGCUUUUAUCAAAACAUCCAAAACUAGGCCAGAGACAAGGCCAGGGAACCUGCAGCCCUCGGGCCACUCCAGGCCGCCUACCAGGUUCCGGCAGAGCUGCCGGGCGGGAAGUGGACCCCGCGGGCACUUUCGAGCCUCUGCACCCCAGCGUCCCUUCUGCUGCCGUGCUGUGGCCUCAGGGACAGUCACAAAGCCGGGCAGCAAAAGAGUUCUCCACAGAGCGCUGCUGGAGUCCGGGAGCCUGGAGUCUGUGAACCUGGAUGAGAAAACAGUCACAUCCAUAUCGGCACCGACUAAAUUCAGCAUCGCCCUGCCUUGUGAAUGUGAGCAGCAAAACCCAGUGAGGUCUGUGGUUUUGCCACCGACGUUAUCAACCACAAACCCUACUGGGUUUCCGAACAUCCUACCUUUAUUGCAGAAAUUUCAGGAUGGCAUUUGGACUCAAAUCACGGUAGUUCUUAAAUCCACCACUAGGUAUUCUUUUAAAUGUGCUAAGAAGAAGUUGGAGUUCCCUGGUGGCCUAGCUGGUUAGGGAUCCUGCAUUAUCACUGCUGUAGCUGGGUUAGAUUCCUGGCCUGGGAGUGUCUGCAGGCUGCUGGCCAAAAAAAAAGAAGAAGAAGGAGAAAAGGAAGAGGAAGGGGAAGAAAAGAAGAAGAGGCAUGUAUAUUAAAAAAUAGUUUGACAAAUUUCAGUGCAUUUGGCUUCCUUUAUAAUCCUACAUAUUUUGCUAUUUUGCAUUGUGCAUUUAAAAACAUGAUCCUGA